GUCCGGAUCUAGCCACAAUCUUGAUGACCUGGCUUUACCUGUAACUCUAUCACCAUGGACCUGUAUCUGUUCGUAGCUUUACUUAUAUCGUACUCCGAAGCCUUCCGUGAUGACUUCGACACCUGGAAUACCAGUUCAUACACUGUUGAAGUAUCAGCGUGGGGCGGAGGGAAUAACGAGUUCCAAGCGUACACCAACGACCCCAGUAAUAUCUACGUUACGGACGGAAACCUAUACCUCCGCC
Pecten maximus is the source of this 244-nucleotide long non-coding RNA. RefSeq lists it as uncharacterized. NCBI's taxonomy places the organism in Eukaryota, Metazoa, Mollusca, Bivalvia, Pectinida, Pectinidae. The transcript is spliced from 3 exons. The record is from RefSeq and is a predicted model, not a curated record.